AUACGGGAGGAUGCGAGCGUUAUCCGGAUUCGAUUGGGUUUAAAGGGUGCGUAGGCGGUUUUUUAAGUCAGUGGUGAAAUCCUGCGGCUCAACCGUAGAACUGCCAUUGAAACUGAAAAACUUGAAUAUAAUUGAGGUAGGCGGAAUGAGUAGUGUAGCGGUGAAAUGCUUAGAUAUUACUCAGAACACCAAUUGCGAAGGCAGCUUACCAAGCUAUAAUUGACGCUGAGGCACGAAGGCGU
This 242-nucleotide ribosomal RNA is filed under the name uncultured bacterium. RNAcentral's name for it is "partial 16S ribosomal RNA". It matches the Rfam family "Bacterial small subunit ribosomal RNA", at positions 523 to 762 of the family's 1533-position model. The record is from RNAcentral.